Molecule: non-coding RNA, 71 nt
Organism: Orycteropus afer afer
Lineage: Eukaryota; Metazoa; Chordata; Mammalia; Tubulidentata; Orycteropodidae
Source: the annotation of a RefSeq genome assembly
GCAGUGGUGGUUCAGUGGUAGAAUAUUCACCUUCCAUGUGGGAGACCUGGGUUCGAUCCCCAGCUGUUGCA